AUGAAAAUACAUUCAAUUCAAUUUUAUUCAUAAAGCGCAUUUCAUGUUAUUCAAAGUGCUUUACAGUACAUAGAAAUAAGUAAACAAUCUAAGAAAAAAAAUCUGUCAGAGACAUUUAAAUUCACAAUAAAAACAAAGAUAAAUGAAAAUUUAAAAUAACAAUUAAAAGAAAAUAAAUGUGAUUUUAAUAAAAAUCCUUUUAACGGUCUUGCCUUGCCUUGAAUGAUGUAUCAGGUAAUAAUAUAAUGAUAGUUUAAUUCCAAAGAUAACACUUUCAAUGCCUUAUGUGGCUGUUACACUUUCACCUGUCUACACCGCGAUUUCUUGGCAAAAAGCUACAGUGUAAAGCCAAGUUCAACUUCAUAAUACAAUUCAUAGUAUUCAUGAAUGGCCUGUGAUCUGGGCCUCGUGAGUUGCAAUUUGGUGACCUAGUUCUAUCAUCUUCUGCAUUCCUAGUAAUAAAUGUAGAAGAAGCGGUUUCUCGUUCUAAGCAUGUAAAUUGUUUGCAACAAGCAUUUGAAUGUGGUUUCCUCCCUCCUAUCUCCCACACUUGUUACCCUCAUUAUUAUUGUCACACCCAGGUCAAAUGUCAUAUUUUAAUGGUUGCUUAAUCUUUCCUACGAAUUGAAUUCAGCUUUCACAAUGUUUGUUUUUAGUUCAUUGUUGUUUUGUUUAUCUUACACUAGUGUGAUUGAUGGGUCGGAAGUAGGGAAUUUCAAACAAAAUUCACACUCAGUGUCUGGAAUGCAGCAUAUACAAAUAAGGAACUAAUGAACAUUGGUGAAAAAGACAAAAACCUAAACCUCAGGGGACCAAAAGAAAUAAGGUGGGAUUUUCCAGAGAGCAGGUUUAGCAGCUAAGGAAAUGUAAUUGUGGGAAGACCAGCAUAUUUAACUCCAUCACUAAAGUAAUAACACACAUGAACCAGCAAAUCCAGGUCUUCAGGAUUACUUGAAAAUUACAGGCGGGUGUUUAAUGAGGGUUUGAUUAGGCCUUGGCUAUGAUACUGUUGGGUGUGGAACCAUAUGUACAGUAACAUGAAAGCAGUAAAACUCUAAUAAAGCAUCAGUAAACUUUACUUCACAAAUCUUCUUAAUCACUGUUGAUUCAGUCUCGCAUACGGCAGAUUUGGGAUUCAAUAUUCAUUUUAGGUUCAUUAAAAGAUCCACAUCUCAUGGGCCUGACCAUUAUAAAUAUUUUUUGGGGGAUGACUCAGUGGAUUAGGAAUUCAUCACAACAGUGGAAACUUCAUUUCUUGUAAAGAGCAUUUCUUGCACAUGUGCCAAAGAUUCCAGUCAGCGUCCAUCCACUAACUGGAAAGUCAAAGGAUCUUAUACCACGGCUGACCCAAGACCUGUCUCUUCCAGGGAAGAUGGGUUCUGCAUGUACGAGGCUGUGUCAGACUCAUCGUUUUCAUGCAGGUGGUCUGGGUCCAGAAUCGGUGACAUCUAUUGUAAUAAAGGGAUUAUUAAUUAAACAGCACAUCUAAAGUAUUACUUUAAAUAAAAAUU
Molecule: long non-coding RNA, 1511 nt
Organism: Paramisgurnus dabryanus
Lineage: Eukaryota; Metazoa; Chordata; Actinopteri; Cypriniformes; Cobitidae
Source: RefSeq, a predicted model, not a curated record